RNAcentral lists this long non-coding RNA (394 nucleotides) under Carica papaya (papaya). Its description in RNAcentral is "long non-coding RNA (CPAP_LNC010431)". Lineage: Eukaryota; Viridiplantae; Streptophyta; Magnoliopsida; Brassicales; Caricaceae. The record is from RNAcentral.
CACAAUAACAUCAUAAUCUCAUUUUCAAUUAGGUAGGACAACAACUUUUCCUUUUUAUCUGACUACUGCUAUCCAUGGGGGUUCAUAGGGAUGUCCCCACUACGCAUGAACUCUUAUUCAACAUUAUCAACUAACAGGCCGUCCCCAUACCCCGUCUAGUAUGAACACCAAAAAUAUCAUCCCUCAAUACCGCGUCCGGUAUGAGGGUAAAACGGAUCGUCUCAUACCCCUUCCGGUAUGAGCACGAAAAAUAAAAAUCCUCGAUACCCUAUCCGAUAUGAGGCGACGUUCACGGUAGGAUUCCCUAUGUACCCAGUCCGUCCACCAUCUCUCAGGAUAUCCAGUAAGGCUAUCAUUCAUUCAUUCACUUAAUCAAGUAAUUUUUCACUUACAU